GUGGGGAAUCUUGCGCAAUGGGCGAAAGCCUGACGCAGCCAUGCCGCGUGAAUGAUGAAGGUCUUAGGAUUGUAAAAUUCUUUCACCGGGGACGAUAAUGACGGUACCCGGAGAAGAAGCCCCGGCUAACUUCGUGCCAGCAGCCGCGGUAAUACGAAGGGGGCUAGCGUUGCUCGGAAUUACUGGGCGUAAAGGGCGCGUAGGCGGACAGUUUAGUCAGAGGUGAAAGCCCAGGGCUCAACCUUGGAAUUGCCUUUGAUACUGGCUGUCUUGAGUACGGGAGAGGUGAGUGGAACUCCGAGUGUAGAGGUGAAAUUCGUAGAUAUUCGGAAGAACACCAGUGGCGAAGGCGACUCACUGGCCCAAUACUGACGCUGAGGCGCGAAAGCGUGGGGAGCAAACAGGAUUAGAUACCCGAGUAGUCC
RNAcentral lists this ribosomal RNA (425 nucleotides) under uncultured bacterium. Its description in RNAcentral is "partial 16S ribosomal RNA". It matches the Rfam family "Bacterial small subunit ribosomal RNA", at positions 354 to 796 of the family's 1533-position model. The record is from RNAcentral.